UUGGAGGGCAAGUCUGGUGCCAGCAGCCGCGGUAAUUCCAGCUCCAAUAGCGUAUAUUAAAGUUGUUGCAGUUAAAAAGCUCGUAGUUGAAUUUCGGGAUUGACGUAAUGGUCAUGCCUUAAGGGGUAUGAACUGUUACUGUUGAUUUCUCACCUUCUGGAGAAACUUGAUGUCCUUUAUUGGGUGUCUUGCGGAUCCAGGACCUUUACCUUGAAAAAAUUAGAGUGUUUAAAGCAGGCAUUUUUGCUCGAAUACAUUAGCAUGGAAUAAUAGAAUAGGACGGCAUGGUUCUAUUUUGUUGGUUUCUAGGAUCACCGUAAUGAUUAAUAGGGAUAGUUGGGGGCAUUAGUAUUCAAUUGUCAGAGGUGAAAUUCUUGGAUUUAUUGAAGACUAACUACUGCGAAAGCAUUUGCCAAGGAUGUUUUCAUUAAUCAAGAACGAAAGUUAGGGGAUCGAAGACGAUCAGAUACCGUCGUAGUCUUAACCAUAAACUAUGCCGACUAGGGAUCGGACGGUGGUUUUUUUAUGCCCCGUUCGGCACCUUACGGGAAACCAAAGUGUUUGGGUUC
RNAcentral lists this ribosomal RNA (569 nucleotides) under uncultured Glomeromycotina. RNAcentral's name for it is "SSU rRNA". It matches the Rfam family "Eukaryotic small subunit ribosomal RNA", at positions 548 to 1114 of the family's 1831-position model. Lineage: Eukaryota; Fungi; Glomeromycota. The record is from RNAcentral.